CCCGUACACAAAAAUGCACAUGCUGUGAGCUCGAUGAGUAGGGCGGGACACGUGGUAUCCUGUCUGAAUAUGGGGGGACCAUCCUCCAAGGCUAAAUACUCCUGACUGACCGAUAGUGAACCAGUACCGUGAGGGAAAGGCGAAAAGAACCCCGGCGAGGGGAGUGAAAAAGAACCUGAAACCGUGUACGUACAAGCAGUGGGAGCACGCUUAGGCGUGUGACUGCGUACCUUUUGUAUAAUGGGUCAGCGACUUAUAUUCUGUAGCAAGGUUAACCGAAUAGGGGAGCCGAAGGGAAACCGAGUCUUAACUGGGCGUUAAGUUGCAGGGUAUAGACCCGAAACCCGGUGAUCUAGCCAUGGGCAGGUUGAAGGUUGGGUAACACUAACUGGAGGACCGAACCGACUAAUGUUGAAAAAUUAGCGGAUGACUUGUGGCUGGGGGUGAAAGGCCAAUCAAACCGGGAGAUAGCUGGUUCUCCCCGAAAGCUAUUUAGGUAGCGCCUCGUGAAUUCAUCUCCGGGGGUAGAGCACUGUUUCGGCAAGGGGGUCAUCCCGACUUACCAACCCGAUGCAAACUGCGAAUACCGGAGAAUGUUAUCACGGGAGACACACGGCGGGUGCUAACGUCCGUCGUGAAGAGGGAAACAACCCAGACCGCCAGCUAAGGUCCCAAAGUCAUGGUUAAGUGGGAAACGAUGUGGGAAGGCCCAGACAGCCAGGAUGUUGGCUUAGAAGCAGCCAUCAUUUAAAGAAAGCGUAAUAGCUCACUGGUCGAGUCGGCCUGCGCGGAAGAUGUAACGGGGCUAAACCAUGCAC
RNAcentral lists this ribosomal RNA (818 nucleotides) under Escherichia coli. RNAcentral's name for it is "partial 23S ribosomal RNA". It matches the Rfam family "Bacterial large subunit ribosomal RNA", at positions 372 to 1194 of the family's 2925-position model. The record is from RNAcentral. Lineage: Bacteria; Pseudomonadati; Pseudomonadota; Gammaproteobacteria; Enterobacterales; Enterobacteriaceae.